RNAcentral lists this unclassified non-coding RNA (425 nucleotides) under Cyphocarpus rigescens. RNAcentral's name for it is "partial contains tRNA-Leu and trnL-trnF intergenic spacer". The stretch from base 378 to 425 matches the Rfam family "tRNA", at positions 1 to 46 of the family's 71-position model. Lineage: Eukaryota; Viridiplantae; Streptophyta; Magnoliopsida; Asterales; Campanulaceae. The record is from RNAcentral.
UCUAUCCCCAAAAAGUCCAUUUGACUCUCGAACUAUUUAUUCUAGCCUUUAGUUCUAUUUCUCCUUUUUCGGUAGCGGUUCAAAAUUCCUUAUCUUUCCCAUUCACCCUACUCUUUUAGAAACAGAUCUGCGCGGAAAUCUUUUUCUCUUAUGACAAGUUUUUGAUCUAUAUCAUAGAUGUACAAAUUAACAUCUUUGAGCAAGGAAACCCCAUUUGAAUGAUUCAUGGGUCUUAGUCAUCCUUAAACUUACCAAGUUGUCCUUUUGACGAUCCAAGAAAUUCCAGGAUCUGGAUGAGGCUUUGUAAUAGCCUUUCAAUUGACAUAGACCCAAGGUAUCUAGUAAAAUGUAAAAUUGAGGAUGCAGCAUCGGAAAUAGUCGGGAUAGCUCAGCUGGUAGAGCAGAGGACUGAAAAUCCUCGUGUC